UGCUAAAGAAUUUUUUUUAACUUGCCUGUGUGCACGAUGCCUUUAAACAGGCCUAUCCCUGAUUGCUGUACUCCAGCACUGUAACCCUGCUCAAUGUUUUUGUCUGGUCUAGCUUCGGAUGGCCAGUGUAUUUCACAGCAUGAGGGAGAUCUUAUCAAGGCAGGUGGAGAUUAGGAACAGCAAGCCAACCUGCUCAAAAAAACAGAUAUGAAUCUGGAGAGACACCCUCUCCUCAUGAAAGCAGAGCCUGCAGAUACAGGUUAAAAUAUGCAAGCUGACUUCUUCAAAAAGAUUAAACCCCUUUGGCUGCUGUGGGCUGAGCGGUGAUUCCAGACUGCAAACUGCUCGUCAGUCAGGGCGAGCGCAAAGCCUGCACUGCAGCUGCCCAAGCAGUAGCCCAGGAAGAGCAACGUUCACAGCGUGGCAGCUGGAUGUGGAGAUAAUCAUGUGGAUAUGGGCACUGACCUCUCUGCGAGGACAGAUAAUAGAGCAAAAAAAGAGGAAGAUGCCAAGAAGAUACUUGAUUUCUUUUGGUAAUUGUGACUUGCAGUUUGUUAUCAUGCUCAAAUGGAGCAUCAACGGGCUUUGUUUUGUUGUGAAUUUUUAGGGAAAAUUGAUAACAUCAGCGCUUAGCUAUCUCCUAUUACCACCGUCUUGGUUCCUAACACAACAGCAACUAAUAACUCAGACCUGAUGGGCUCCUCAUGACCAUUUGGGUCAAGGUCUGCGGUAACAGAAAAUGAUUGCGAAAGAAAGAGCAACUGAGAGUAGGCUGUCCUAGGCCACGGGACUCGCCUGCUGGACAACUGACGGUGCUCGCUACAGAGACGGUGCUGCCCUUCGCACCCCCCGCCUGCCGAGGACCACCACGAGCCCAGCCAUUGCACGUUCCCUGGGAUACGGGAACUUGCUCACUUCGGCCCCUGCUUUCUCUCCAGCGCCAGGGAGAAGUUCCUCUGCCUUUGAAAGACUGAAGUGGCUACCUCAUUAGGCCUUGAUUAUCCUCCAGCAAUUGCUUAGAUUUCUACCCUAUUACUGAUCUGCCUUUUUUAGCAGAGGUCGUGGAAUGGGCAGUGGCUGUCUUGUCUUCGUUAUAAUGCAUCAUUUGAAACUUUUCAAUUAAGCUUCAGAUCAGGCCACAGUACUGAGACCGCUUUAACGAGGAUCUGCUUUCAAGGAACACGAGACGAGGGACUUCGAUGGUCCCAGCCUGAAGCCUAGCAAAUGUUCAACUGCAUCACACAAGUCAGCACAGCUUCGCGACGGACGACCUUCCUCCCGAGAGCGCCACGCUUGGCAUACUGCAUUGCUGAAACCAGCCUGCAUGGGAAAUAGAGAAGAUCUCUGAACACACUUACCCUGGUAAUAAACUCUAUUCUUCGGACACCUGAGUAAAGCACUCCCCAGUCACUGGAAACAAUCAAUGAGGAAAAAAGUUAUUUAGCAAUCAAUUUAUAGGAAAAGGGAUUCACAGUGUUCAGAAUAUUCCCACUGAUAAUGCAUCUGGUUACCUGUUUUAUUAUUGAGCCCAUACAAUACCACUUACUUCGGACCUUACCACAGCAAUGCGUAAGGCCCAGCACUGUAUCUCUGCUCUUUCCUAAUCCCAUCCAUCUGCUGGUGCCCAUCCUAUAGUAUCAGGCUGCUUUUUCUGAAUCAUAUUUAAAAAUCAGUGCUGUAAAUUGUACUCUUAAAAAAAAAGGCCAUAGAAAAGGUGUGAGCUGAAUGCAUAAUAAUUUUUUGAAUGAAUGGAGCCCUUAAUAUUUAGUUUUGCCUAAUGAAGUAAGGAAUGAAUGUAAAAGGAUUAUUAUUCCCGUAACGUUCAAUUCACACACACAGUGUAAUUCAUAGAACCUGGCUUUAAUUUUUUUCAUAUAAAUAAUUAAUGCUGCAUUUAAAGCAUGCUAAAAUGUUUUAUUUCUUAAUCAGCUAAUUUGACUGAGAAACAAAGAUGCCUUUAUUUUCAUUUUCCUUGACUGGAGUUACUGUAGUAAAAGUUCCCCUCUAGCUUUGGCCUUCACUCUCAAGUUUGCUGCUGCCAAUUAGUCCUCUAAAGUCACUAUUUUACAAAAUGUUUCUCACUUUUAAAAAAAUGUAAUUGAAUGUCUGUACAUCACAGAGUUUCUUGUGUUCAGACACAGGGUGUUAAACAUUCUUUGAGUUGACUUGGGUCAGCUUUAAAAAAAUCUCAGACACUGAAACUUGAGAUGCAGUCGUGUGCUAUAGUGUUUUCUCCACAUCCUGUUAAGCAUUAAGUGGUUAUUUAAAAUGGAGUUGUUAUACUCAGCAACUGACUUAAAGUGCUCGAUAUAGUUUACAAGACGAUUAAUUAAAUGAGAGCAUUGCAUGUGAUGCACAUGUAUUUCCAUAAUCAUUCACAUUGGCCUAUAGUUGCCCUUUAAUUUUCAUACUAAUUAAAGUAACACAUUGAACUGCAAAUUGUAAAUGGCUGCAUUUCUCAGUAGAUGUUAACACUGAUGUAAGCUGAAUGGUGAAUAAAAAACCCCAAGAAUUAAGCAGAGUGUUUUUUGACUCUCAUCCAUUCAAGUUUCCCUACUCAUUCCAUUACUGGACCGUGUCCAUAUUUUAACAAGACUGCAUUUUUCUGUGUUUUCAGCCCCAUAUUUUUUCUGAGGUACAACGAGCUUUUUUUCUUUAUUGUGAUGUCUAGUUAGUUGGUUUCCAUUUGACACAAUAGUGCGGUUGUACAAGGCUCACAGUUACAUAUUAGUUUUUUUAAGUGGUGGUGGGACCGAGCUUUAUAAUCUGAUGGGCAGAAAGAAAUAAAACCGAAAUGCACAGCUA
Long non-coding RNA from Dromaius novaehollandiae (emu), 2805 nucleotides. RefSeq lists it as uncharacterized. The record is from RefSeq and is a predicted model, not a curated record. The transcript is spliced from 2 exons. Lineage: Eukaryota; Metazoa; Chordata; Aves; Casuariiformes; Dromaiidae.